CUACGCAGCGACAGUUGCACAUUUUAGUUCGCCGUGUUUUCGCGUUAUGAACAAAUUGUGAGAUGUGUAGUGAAGUUGGAGGACUCACCCAAGAGUUAUUGUAGUCCGGCACGCUGGAUUGCAACGCGGUCACUCCUCGGUUUCUACAAGAGUUUUGUGAUGAAAAAGAAGCAGAAGAUCAGAAUGUGUGGAAAUAUUUUACACGGCUUUGCCGGUUUUACGUCUUUCUCCUCUGGCUACUGUGCAUUUGGUCCUAAGCAAAUACUGACUCAACCCUUGCGGCGCUCUCUGGCCCGUGGGCUCUUCUCAUCGCGGACUAAUUAUUGUCUCACGCACCCUCCCGACUCUCCCACAAAUACUCGAAAAAGCAACCAAAUCAUGAAAUACAUACUCGACUUUACGUGUGAAGUAAGUAAAUCCUCACAUUUGCCCGUUGUUUGUUUGUGUGCAUGUGCGCUUGUGCGUUCGCCCGCACUCUGUGAUUUUCGAUUUUCGGUUUUCGGAGGCAUACCUUACGUGCCUCGAUAAUUGUACGCAAACACGCCACACAAGUCCCACUCGAGUGUGGA
Long non-coding RNA from Dalotia coriaria, 569 nucleotides. RefSeq lists it as uncharacterized. Lineage: Eukaryota; Metazoa; Arthropoda; Insecta; Coleoptera; Staphylinidae. The record is from RefSeq and is a predicted model, not a curated record. The transcript has 4 exons.